RNAcentral lists this ribosomal RNA (1386 nucleotides) under uncultured bacterium. RNAcentral's name for it is "16S ribosomal RNA". It matches the Rfam family "Bacterial small subunit ribosomal RNA". The record is from RNAcentral.
AGAGUUUGAUCCUAGCUCAGGAUGAACGCUGGCGGCAUGCCUAAUACAUGCAAGUCGAACGAGGGUCCUUCGGGACUCGAGUGGCGAACGGGUGAGUAACACGUAGGGAACCUGCCCGUGCGACCGGGAGAACUUUCGGAAACGGAAGCUGAUACCGGAUAGGGACAGAGACGGCAUCGACUCUGUGUUAAAGGAGCUGAAAGGCUCCGCGCACGGAUGGACCUGCGGUGCAUUAGCUAGUUGGUGAGGUAACGGCCCACCAAGGCGACGAUGCAUAGCCGGCCUGAGAGGGCGGACGGCCACACUGGGACUGAGACACGGCCCAGACUCCUACGGGAGGCAGCAGUAGGGAAUUUUCGUCAAUGGGCGCAAGCCUGAACGAGCAAUGCCGCGUGAACGAGGAAGGUCUUCGGAUCGUAAAGUUCUGUUGAAGGGGAAAAAGAGCGGAGAGAGGAAAUGAACUCCGAUUGAUAUUACCCUUCGAGGAAGUCACGGCUAACUACGUGCCAGCAGCCGCGGUAAUACGUAGGUGGCGAGCGUUAUCCGGAAUGAUUGGGCGUAAAGGGUGCGUAGGCGGCCUGCUAAGUCUGGAGUGAAAGGUACCGGCUCAACCGGUACAGGCUCUGGAAACUGGCGGGCUAGAGAGCAGGAGAGGGCGGUGGAACUCCAUGUGUAGCGGUAAAAUGCGUAGAUAUAUGGAAGAACACCAGUGGCGAAGGCGGCCGCCUGGCCUGUUACUGACGCUGAGGCACGAAAGCGUGGGGAGCAAAUAGGAUUAGAUACCCUAGUAGUCCACGCCGUAAACGAUGAGGACCAAGUGUUGGGGGAAGACCCAGUGCUGCAGUUAACGCAGUGAGUCCUCCGCCUGGGGAGUAUGCACGCAAGUGUGAAACUCAAAGGAAUUGACGGGGGCCCGCACAAGCGGUGGAGUAUGUGGUUUAAUUCGAAGCAACGCGAAGAACCUUACCAGGCCUUGACAUAGGGUGCGAAGCUAUGGAGACAUAGUGGAGGUAAACAUCCAUACAGGUGGUGCAUGGUUGUCGUCAGCUCGUGUCGUGAGAUGUUCAGUUAAGUCUGGCAACGAGCGCAACCCUCGUGAUGUGUUACCAAUAUCGAGUUAGGGACUCACAUCAGACUGCCGGUGAGAAACCGGAGGAAGGCGGGGAGGACGUCAAAUCAUCAUGCCCCUUAUGGCCUGGGCUACACACGUACUACAAUGGCGGCGACAGAGGGCAGCGAGCCUGCGAAGGCAAGCGAAUCCCCAAAAAGCCGUCCCAGUUCGGAUUGGAGUCUGCAACCCGACUCCAUGAAGUUGGAAUCGCUAGUAAUCGCGGAUCAGCAUGCCGCGGUGAAUACGUUCUCGGGCCUUGCACACACCGCCCGUCA